UUCAGAUUCCCCCAGACAUAUAACUUUAUAUGCCAGUGAUGUGGAGGCGUGUUCAGCCACAAAUUGCCGGAUGAUGCUGAGACCCCAGCUGUUUGCUCAAGGAACAGAAACCACAAUAGAACGAAAUCACAAACUUUUACAACUGCCCACCCUGCUCACUAUGUUCCACAUUACGAUGGCUGGUUUCCAAGAGCAAGUGUCCCUAGAGAACCAGCAGAAGCUGUAUGGGUUUUUAUGGCCUAGCCUCGGAAGUCAUAAAGCACCACUUCCACCAUCGUCAAAAGCUCAUCAGGAUUCAAAAGAAGGAAAAGCAAGCCCUACCUCUUGAUGGAAGGGAUUGUCAAAGUCACAUUGAAAGAAAGGCACAAGGAAUAAGAGAGAUUGUUGUGACUAUCUUUGGAAAAUACAAUAUGCCACAGAUUGAACACAUACAUCUAAUUUUGUUCCCUUCUGAAAUUUCACUAAAACAAUAGUAAAUUGAUUUCCCGCCCAAGGCAUAAACUCACAAACACGGGGAGAAUGAAAGAAGAAGCAACAACAACAAAAUUUUAGAAGCUGGAAAGCAGAUGUUCAACUGGCAAAGGACUUAACAGACCCCAGAAAACUGAAUCUUAUACUAGCAACAAGGAAAGCUGAAAACUCAUUGGAUUUAUAAUAUAGAAUCCCCAAAAGACUAAGCAUAUGGUAGUAUCAGAUACCACUAUAAGUGUGAGAAGA
Molecule: non-coding RNA, 717 nt
Organism: Microcebus murinus (gray mouse lemur)
Lineage: Eukaryota; Metazoa; Chordata; Mammalia; Primates; Cheirogaleidae
Source: RefSeq, a predicted model, not a curated record